UAUCAACCACAAAUGUAUACUGUGU
This 25-nucleotide non-coding RNA is filed under the name Cricetulus griseus (Chinese hamster). Lineage: Eukaryota; Metazoa; Chordata; Mammalia; Rodentia; Cricetidae. The record is from RNAcentral.